AGCGGUGGUAGUCGAUGCCGAUAUGCCUCCAGUGUUUAAUAAACAUCAAUCGUUAGCUUCGAAAUCGUACCACUGUAGCGGCCGCAGCUUAAUUUUCCUGGACAGUAUGGACCAGAUACCAUACAAGUGCUCAGACUGCACACCGGGAGACAAUCUGCAGGUGGCGAAUUACGGGUACUACAAGGUGGGCAAACACUAAGGUGGACGACGGAUUCGAUUCCAACGAGAGGAGUGCAAUGUGUCCUCGCACGAAACCACAUACAAUUUUGAAAACGCCAUGAACAAAACGGAGCGAGUGCGGCAUAUUGAACCCACGAGCUUAUCAGAGAAUUUGGAGUCAAGUACGCCGACCCGGCUGGAUUCCAAGUUAGUGCCCCAGCCAACUUUUGCAUUUUCCCCGGGUCAAAAAUCUGCCAGGAAAAGCUAUCCGUGCCCUUAACCACCAACGCAAGCCGUGACUGUCAAGUAUGAUCCCGGCAAAUACAUGAUUCCUACAUUUGCCACCGACACGGCAUCCUGAGGUCGUCAAAGCCCAUUUGGUUUAGAAGCUGGUAUUGACUGGUAAACCCCAACCGUGGUCCGUCGUAGUGAUCUGUUCAAGCAUGAAGGCAUGGGAGAAGUUGAUUUGCUCGAGGUUCAUCAGGAUUCUGAAUGACGACGUCGCUGUUUUCAAGCAGUACUUUAUGCACCGCUGCCGUCAGAAUUGUCCCCCAGCUAUUUUGUGCCCGCAGAACCAGCUUGAAUUAUAUAUUAUAUAAUAAUGAUUCUUAUCGAUUCUU
Long non-coding RNA from Aedes albopictus (Asian tiger mosquito), 779 nucleotides. RefSeq lists it as uncharacterized. The transcript has 3 exons. Lineage: Eukaryota; Metazoa; Arthropoda; Insecta; Diptera; Culicidae. The record is from RefSeq and is a predicted model, not a curated record.